AGUUUGAUCAUGGCUCAGAUUGAACGCUGGCGGCAUGCCUUACACAUGCAAGUCGAACGGUAACGGGCCUUCGGGUGCCGACGAGUGGCGAACGGGUGAGUAAUGCAUCGGAACGUACCUUCAGUGGGGAUAACGUAGCGAAAGUUACGCUAAUACCGCAUAUUCUGUGAGCAGGAAAGCAGGGGAUCGCAAGACCUUGCGCUGAUUGAGCGGCCGAUGUCAGAUUAGCUAGUUGGUGAGGUAAAGGCUCACCAAGGCGACGAUCUGUAGCGGGUCUGAGAGGAUGAUCCGCCACACUGGAACUGAGACACGGUCCAGACUCCUACGGGAGGCAGCAGUGGGGAAUUUUGGACAAUGGGGGCAACCCUGAUCCAGCCAUGCCGCGUGAGUGAAGAAGGCCUUCGGGUUGUAAAGCUCUUUCGGCCGGGAAGAAAUCGUAUGGGCUAAUACCCUGUGCGGAUGACGGUACAGGCAUAAGAAGCACCGGCUAACUACGUG
This 498-nucleotide ribosomal RNA is filed under the name uncultured bacterium. Its description in RNAcentral is "bacterial SSU rRNA". It matches the Rfam family "Bacterial small subunit ribosomal RNA", at positions 10 to 507 of the family's 1533-position model. The record is from RNAcentral.